Molecule: long non-coding RNA, 338 nt
Organism: Chiroxiphia lanceolata (lance-tailed manakin)
Lineage: Eukaryota; Metazoa; Chordata; Aves; Passeriformes; Pipridae
Exons: 2
Source: RefSeq, a predicted model, not a curated record
GUGUUUUGUCUGUGUUGCUUUCCUCCUCUGCUCUGCUCCUUUCGCUGGUCACCUUCUGUUCUUUACAUACAGUUUCUGUUUCAUCUUCAACUGACGUGCAGGUGCCACCCACAACCGCCAAACACACCAGCCACGACACCCGGCCUGCUUGGCAGGACAGCACCUCUGCUCUUCUGCUACUCAGCUUGAGAUGAUGAGCACUGCUGAGGAGAGACUUCUAAUCCCCAACAGCUCUUAACACAAUAGACCUCAACCCCAGCUGAAGACUAGAUGCAAGACCGCCAAAAGUAAAUACUGUGGAUAUUUGUAGGGACUCGUAAAGCUCCUCUCAUGUUUCA